Molecule: ribosomal RNA, 500 nt
Filed under: uncultured bacterium
Lineage: Bacteria
Description: partial 16S ribosomal RNA
Rfam family: Bacterial small subunit ribosomal RNA
Source: RNAcentral
AUUGAACGCUGGCGGCAUGCCUUACACAUGCAAGUCGAACGGCAGCACGGGAGCAAUCCUGGUGGCGAGUGGCGAACGGGUGAGUAAAGUAUCGGAACGAGCCCAGUCGUGGGGGAUAACGUAGCGAAAGUUACGCUAAUACCGCAUACGAUCUAUGGAUGAAAGCGGGGGAUCGCAAGACCUCGCGCGAUUGGAGCGGCCGAUAUCAGAUUAGGUAGUUGGUGGGGUAAAGGCUCACCAAGCCGACGAUCCGUAGCUGGUCUGAGAGGACGACCAGCCACACUGGGACUGAGACACGGCCCAGACUCCUACGGGAGGCAGCAGUGGGGAAUUUUGGACAAUGGGCGAAAGCCUGAUCCAGCCAUGCCGCGUGCAGGAUGAAGGCCUUCGGGUUGUAAACUGCUUUUGUACGGAACGAAAAGGUUUGGCCUAAUAAGCUGAGCUCAUGACGGUACCGUAAGAAUAAGCACCGGCUAACUACGUGCCAGCCGCCGCGGUAA